GUAUCUUCGGAUAUGAGUAGAGCGGCGGACGGGUGAGUAACGCGUAGGAAUCUACCUAGUAGAAGGGGAUAGCCCGGGGAAACUCGGAUUAAUACCGUAUACCUCCUUUGGGAGAAAGAAGGCCUCUCUUUGAAGCUUUCGCUAUUAGAUGAGCCUGCGUAAGAUUAGCUUGUUGGUGAGGUAAAGGCUCACCAAGGCGACGAUCUUUAGCGGGUCUGAGAGGACGAUCCGCCACAUUGGGACUGAGACACGGCCCAGACUCCUACGGGAGGCAGCAGUGGGGAAUAUUGGACAAUGGGCGCAAGCCUGAUCCAGCCAUACCGCGUGUGUGAAGAAGGCCCUAGGGUUGUAAAGCACUUUAAGUUGGGAAGAAAAGUUAUUGGUUAAUACCCAAUGACCGUGACAUUACCUUCAGAAUAAGGACCGGCUAAUUCCGUGCCAGCAGCCGCGGUAAUACGGAAGGUCCAAGCGUUAAUCGGAAUUACUGGGCGUAAAGCGCGCGUAGGCUGUUAUUUAAGUCGGAUGUGAAAUCCUCGGGCUCAACCUGGGAACUGCAUCCGAAACUGAAUAACUAGAGUAUGGGAGAGGUAAGUAGAAUUUCCGGUGUAGCGGUGAAAUGCGUAGAUAUCGGAAGGAAUACCAGUGGCGAA
Molecule: ribosomal RNA, 650 nt
Filed under: uncultured marine bacterium
Lineage: Bacteria
Description: bacterial SSU rRNA
Rfam family: Bacterial small subunit ribosomal RNA
Source: RNAcentral